Molecule: ribosomal RNA, 453 nt
Filed under: uncultured Porphyromonadaceae bacterium
Lineage: Bacteria; Pseudomonadati; Bacteroidota; Bacteroidia; Bacteroidales; Porphyromonadaceae
Description: partial 16S ribosomal RNA
Rfam family: Bacterial small subunit ribosomal RNA
Source: RNAcentral
ACGGGAGGCAGCAGUGAGGAAUAUUGGUCAAUGGGCGGAAGCCUGAACCAGCCAAGUCGCGUGAGGGAUGAAGGUAUUAUGUAUUGUAAACUUCUUUAGCUGUGGAGCAAUAAUCUCCAUGUAUGGAGAGAUGAGAGUACACAGAGAAUAAGGAUCGGCUAACUCCGUGCCAGCAGCCGCGGUAAUACGGAGGAUCCGAGCGUUAUCCGGAUUUAUUGGGUCUAAAGGGUGCGCAGGCGGCUUUCUAAGUCAGUGGUCAAAUCGUGGUGCUCAACGCCAUCCCGCCAUUGAUACUGGAGAGCUUGAUUGCGGUCGAGGUUUGCGGAAUUCGUCGUGUAGCGGUGAAAUGCAUAGAUAUGACGAAGAACACCGAUUGCGUAGGCAGCAGACCAGGCCGUAAAUGACGCUCAUGCACGAAAGUGCGGGGAUCGAACAGGAUUAGAUACCCUGGUA